GUUUCCUUAUUGAACCGUAAAACCACGAAACCACACAGAGUCAACAAACGCUUUAUCUGCAUGACCUUUUCAAAUAAAACCAAAACACACACACACACACACACACACACACACACACCCCGACUCAAUGACAAAAUACAGCGGCAGCAUUUCCCAGCGAGUCCGAGUACCGAGUAAUGUUACCCUAAUAAAGAUUUCCAUCGCUAAAAAUAACCACACACGCAAUGAAGUAUUUACAAACAGUAAACAAACCUCAUCCAGCUGAGUCUGACCGAAACUCUUACCGUCGAACUAAGAAGCAUAAAAACUGAUCUGCAAUAAAACAAACACUUUUCCCUAACAGUUUAUAACGUUUAUCACGUGGAUCUGGAUUAGACAUCGACCCCAUAAUCGGUGUUGCUGAUAUUUCAGCGUUUUUCAAUAAUCGGAUAUGGGUUUUGUAACAUCGGCUCCGGCGAUAAACGGCUCGCCAUCUUGUGGGCGUUUCGAGAACUGCGCUUUAUUUAACGUAACGUUAAUUCACAAAUUGGACGGGUUACGUGUAAACGCUUAUGUAUAUAUGUUCGGCUAGUUUAAGCAGCUCGGCGCUAAGAAAUACAGACAAACUCAGACUCACGUAAUCUGCUUUUAUUUUUUUUUAAGCUUUUAUUUAAAAAAAUAAAAUAAAAUAAAAUACACACUUUAGUAACAGCGCUUUAUUUUUAUUACAUUUUUCGCGCUCUUUCAGACCCCUUUAUUUAUCGAUGUUAUGAAUAAGAAUUAUUUUUUGGUUUUGUAAACACCGAGGAAGUGAAAUCGACUAAAUUCUUGGGCACAUAAACGUGCAAAUAAUCGGUAUCGGUAAUACAAAAAAUCUCUGAUCUGGACGGCGCUGGUGUUUUACUGUUCAUGAAUAAAUCGUUUUUAUUUCGACUAAAUUAACUCUCGGGGUCAAACCUCUGGCGUAGUUUAAAUGCGCAAAAUGACGCACGUUGUGAAAUCCCGGAAACCCGCCGUACUCGUGUAUCCUGGGCUGUAGAGUCAGGGCCUCCGAGAAACAGUAGAUGUUCUGUCUGUAUAAACAAACACAGUCGCACAGGUAUGAAGGUAUGCUAGCUUGAUCUAGCAUUAACUGUAUUAUAAUACACCCAGAGGUACUGUUUACAUAAAAUUAUUGAGCAGAAGGACCAUCUAUCGAAAGGUACGACCAAUUUGGAACCUACCAAGAUAUAAUGUACACUUAAACUAUACGUAUAAAAACAAACAAAACUACAGGCUGUUAUUUAUAAAGCAAUCUACAGACCCGACGUCGUCUAAACCAGAAUUCAGAGAAGGAUCUUUCUUACAAAGUCAUUCACGCUCUCGGGUCAUGAUGAAUCAUUAGCCAGAGGUCUGAUACAAGCAGGUCGCUGCGGAAUCGGGAUUCGGUCAUGGCACAGUACAGACGUGUAGAGAUCACAGCAUGAGCUACUGACUGGCUCACGGGAAGGGGAAAAGAAAAAAAGAAAAAAAAAAAGGCUCCGGGUCAGGAAAGGUCACGAGCAACAAUGAGGAGUCUCGGGAUAGCGCGUUUGUCACGAAGGGUUCGGCUAUUUUCUGCCAGUGGCCUGCGGCUGCACCGGAGGCGGGACUUCCACUUCCAACAGCAUCGGGCACGACAUGUACACGAGAGCUGAGCCUGUAAUUAUGGAAACGGAGGGACAUCGUAAAGAACAUGGAGGAAGAAAGGAGGUGUCAGUAAGAGACCUUGUACCCGUGAGUCCCUCCAGGGAGACGUCACUGCAGCAACCAGCAUCACCU
Molecule: long non-coding RNA, 1779 nt
Organism: Ictalurus punctatus (channel catfish)
Lineage: Eukaryota; Metazoa; Chordata; Actinopteri; Siluriformes; Ictaluridae
Source: Ensembl